UUAAGCAUAUCACUAAGCGGAGGAGAAGAAAACAACCGUGAUGCCCCUAGUAAUGGCGAAUGAAGCGGGCACAGCUCACGCCGCCAAUCUGGAGGCCCUCGCGGCCCCUCGAAUUGUAGUCUAGAAACGCGCCAUCGGCCGCGUCCGUCGCUAAAAUCCCUUGGAACAGGGUAUCGGAGAAGGUGAGAAUCCUGUGACGUGGCGGAUCGCGGCCGCACGAUGCGUGUUUGCAGAGUCGGGUUGCUUGGGAUUGCAGCUUGAAUUGGGAGGUAAAUUCCUUCUAAAGCUAAAUAUUGCAGCGAGACCGAUAGCGAACAAGUACCGUGAGGGAAAGAUGCAAAGAACUUUGAAAAGAGAGUUAAAGAGUGCUUGAAACCGACAAGGGGAAACCCGGUUGCGCCCGGUGUCGUGCAGUCGACUCAGCCGGAAACGGUGCACUUCUACUGUACGGGUCAGACGCCUCUCUGCGCGGGGGACAACCGUCCGGUAGGCCUUCGGGGAGCCGGUAUCUACCUCGCGCGGGGCGCCGUCUGACGUAACGGGCGCCACCGACCCGUCUUGAAACAG
This 567-nucleotide ribosomal RNA is filed under the name Chrysochromulina throndsenii. RNAcentral describes it as "eukaryotic LSU rRNA". It matches the Rfam family "Eukaryotic large subunit ribosomal RNA", at positions 34 to 662 of the family's 3401-position model. Lineage: Eukaryota; Haptophyta; Prymnesiales; Chrysochromulinaceae. The record is from RNAcentral.